RNAcentral lists this ribosomal RNA (911 nucleotides) under uncultured bacterium. RNAcentral describes it as "bacterial SSU rRNA". It matches the Rfam family "Bacterial small subunit ribosomal RNA", at positions 8 to 916 of the family's 1533-position model. The record is from RNAcentral.
AGAGUUUGAUCAUGGCUCAGAACGAACGCUGGCGGCGCGCCUAAUACAUGCAAGUCGAGCGAGAAGACGUAGCAAUACGUUUGUAAAGCGGCGAACGGGUGAGGAAUACAUGGGUAACCUACCCUCGAGUGGGGAAUAACUAGCCGAAAGGUUAGCUAAUACCGCAUACGACUCCUGGUCUGCGGAUCGGGAGGGAAAGCGAUACCGUGGGUAUCGCGCUCUUGGAUGGGCUCAUGUCCUAUCAGCUUGUUGGUGAGGUAAUGGCUCACCAAGGCUUCGACGGGUAGCUGGUCUGAGAGGACGAUCAGCCACACUGGCACUGCGACACGGGCCAGACUCCUACGGGAGGCAGCAGUAAGGAAUAUUGCGCAAUGGGCGACAGCCUGACGCAGCGACGCCGCGUGGGGGAUGAAGGUCUUCGGAUUGUAAACCCCUUUCGGCAUGGAAGAUGGAACGGGUAACCGUUCGGACGGUACCUGCAGAAGCAGCCACGGCUAACUUCGUGCCAGCAGCCGCGGUAAUACGAAGGUGGCAAGCGUUGUUCGGAUUUACUGGGCGUACAGGGAGCGUAGGCGGUUGGGUAAGCCCUCCGUGAAAUCUCCGGGCCUAACCCGGAAAGUGCGGAGGGGACUGCUCGGCUAGAGGAUGGGAGAGGAGCGCGGAAUUCCCGGUGUAGCGGUGAAAUGCGUAGAGAUCGGGAGGAAGGCCGGUGGCGAAGGCGGCGCUCUGGAACAUUUCUGACGCUGAGGCUCGAAAGCGUGGGGAGCAAACAGGAUUAGAUACCCUGGUAGUCCACGCCUUAAACGAUGGAUACUAAGUGUCGGCGGGUUACCGCCGGUGCCGCAGCUAACGCAUUAAGUAUCCCGCCUGGGAAGUACGGCCGCAAGGUUGAAACUCAAAGGAAUUGACGG